AGAGAGAGAGAGAGAGAGAAGAGGAGAGGAGAGGAUGGAGAAGGAGAGAGAGCAGCAGGUUUACUUGGCGAGACUUGCAGAGCAAGCCGAGAGAUACGAUGAGAUGGUUGAAGCAAUGAAGAAAGUUGCUAAGUUGGAUGUAGAAUUGACAAUUGAGGAGAGGAAUCUGGUGUCAGUAGGUUACAAAAAUGUCAUUGGAGCAAGAAGAGCAUCUUGGCGGAUAUUGUCUUCCAUUGAACAAAAGGAGGAGGCGAAGGGGAAUGAACAAAAUGUGAAGAGGAUAAAGGAGUAUCGGCAGAGAGUUGAAGAUGAGCUCUCAAAGAUCUGCAAUGACAUAUUAUCAGUAAUUGAUCAACAUCUUCUACCCUCCUCCACCACAGGGGAAUCCACUGUUUUUUACUAUAAAAUGUGAGAUUUUCGCUCUCUUGUUGUUUGGCAUUCAAGUUAUCAUGAAAUGAUGAGAAAUGCAUUUUAAGAUGGGGGGAAUGACUUUAUGGGCUUAGAAAUUUUAGAAGGAUGGAGCAUAGAAGGUCAGAAAAUGUAGCUUUGAUUUAGAUUAAUUCGGUGUUUGCAAGGGAUCAAUGGUGCCAAAGUCAUUGAUGUAGAAUAAGCAUUGGAAAGCAAUGUGAGUUUUCUAACAUUUUUAUUCAUUUGAUAUAAAAGUCACAGACAUGAAGGGGAUUUUGGUCUAAAAACUGUAUUUGGGUUCUUUUAUUUCACAUACUGCUUUUUACUACCGGUUUGUUAUUGUGCAGUUGUUUAUGGAAUACAUUUUGUUCUUUCUAGUCUAUAUUUAUUGGCUUAGAAUCUGCAUGUGGAUGUACAUCUCUUAUUUUAUAAUUUCCAAUAUUACACUUAUCACUUAUGAUACAUUUGUAAAUUCCUUUGUUUUCUUUUUGGGGCAGGAAAGGAGACUAUUAUCGCUAUUUAGCUGAGUUUAAAGCUGAUGAUGAUCGUAAAGAAGCUGCGGAUCAGUCCCUCAAGGCUUAUGAGGUGUUUGCAAUUCUCCUUCUGUUGGAAUUUCUCUUCCUCUAUAUCAUUCUGUCAUUUUGAAACAUCUAAUAUGAAGGUAAAUAAUUGAUCAUUUGAUAAAAUUACUGCAUCUAUUCUUUACGCUUUAGGCUGCCACCUCUACUGCAAGCUCAGACCUGCCCCCUACUCAUCCAAUCAGACUUGGCCUGGCUCUUAACUUUUCUGUUUUCUACUAUGAGAUUUUGAACUCCUCUGAAAGGUUAAUAUGCAGCUCUCUCUUUUUCUCAAUCUCUUCCUCAAAAUAGGCACAAAAUUUUUUUUACAUGUUUAGGCCUGUGAACAUGUGGAACUCUCAAUACUGUUUUUGCUGUAACUGCUGUGAUAUUUGGAGUGUAUUUUGAACUAUUAUCUGUGUUGUGUAGGGCCUGCCAUCUGGCCAAACAAGCAUUUGAUGAAGCAAUAGCGGAACUCGAUAGCCUUAAUGAAGAAUCUUACAAGGACAGCACCCUUAUCAUGCAGCUUCUGAGGGAUAAUCUCACUUUGUGGACCUCAGAUCUGCCAGAGGAGGGAGGUGAGCAAUCUAAAGGUGAUGAACCUCAAGCUGAGGUAAGCCAAGAUUGAACUUUGUGAAUGUUAUAUUCGUGCAACUUACUUGUAUAUGCUAUAUCAUGUGAAGUAUUUCUAUUAAAGAGACUAAGUUAGGUGAGAGUAAAGGAUAUGUUUGAAUAUACAUGCUUUUCCAGGUGAAAUACAUUGGACUUUGGAAGCAUUUUUCUAAAUAUAAGUCCACUAAUGUUGUGGGCAAAUGAUAUUUUUAUUAUAAGAAUAUAUGUAUCUGGGAUUUGAAUUUCGGACGACAAAAUCUAAGAGGCUUUGAUACAAUGUGAAACAAGUAGUCAACUUAAAAAUGUAAGCUUUAUAGUGAGGAUAGGAUAGUUUUUGUUUCCAUUCAAGUUAUUGCUUGGUUAGCAUGUUGGGAGUUUUUCGAAUUGUCAUUUAAUUUACUGGAUGGCAUUACAUUUCUUAUUUUUUAUCCUUUAUUGACCACUUACGAGCAUUGAUCAUGCAGAAUUAGUUGGGAUAGAAGAGAUCGAUUCUUUCAGACUGGGUUCGUUGGAGAGGAAAGGAUAAAGCUAGUGGCCAUUUUAGUAUUAGUACAGGGAUUGAUGGACCAUUUAUCUUGUAUCUAUUUGCUCAGAGCAGAUGCUUCCAGACUAUUGUUAUUUCAUUUCUUCUUUGCCCUCAGAACAUAAUUGAACUUGUUACUUACAUGUUUGUGGUGUACUUUUUAAAUCCAUAGCUUUAAACACUAGCAUGCCAAUUUAUUUUCUUUGAAGUAUGCCAUUUUAUUCCCCCCACCGCCACCAAAAAAAAAAGUGUGCCAUUUUCGCAAAAAAAAAAAAAAUUUCCCUUUGAUAUGCCUAUUUCUUUUCUUUCGCUCAAGAAAGUUCUGGUCUCACAAGAGAGUUUGGAGCUUUUGGUGUUGCUUAUCUGUUAUUUGAUAUUGUAUUGUAUCAAUUAUGAGACUAAGAGUGCUGGAUUACAAUGUCAUAUUUUGAUUGGGAAAGUGCAGGAGGUUAAUUGAAAAUCCAGAAGUACAUUAACUAUGCACUGUGAAAAAAGUGUCAAGUAAUGUCAUGGUAAAGUCAUUGGGAAUUCCAGUGUGAAAGAAGGAUGAACGAUAAUAUUAUGGGAGCGCCAAAAAAUUGCGUUGUAUUUUUUGUUCUGAAUCCCAUUAGUCUACCACAGAAGUUAAAUCGUUUUCAGGAACCUCUCACCUCACCAACUCUAACUUCUGUUUAAUCAAAUGUUGUUUUGAAAAUUUGAAGCUGAGCUGUCUCUGGAGGAAGUUGCCUAUCAAUCAGGAACGAUUUCAAAAGCUUGAUGUACUCCUUUGGCCUCUCUACAUUGACGGCGUGCCCUGCAUUCUUGAUGACCGCCAGAUGGGCAUUGUCCCACAGAUGCCUUUUUAAUCUGUGACCCAGUUCCAAUGGAAAAAUUCGAUCAUUUUCUCCCCAGAUUAUCAGCGUUGGCUGGGUGAUCUUGGGAACGUCCAAAAGCUUUCUGUCUUUAGGAAUAGCUCGGAUCAAUUCUUUCUUCUCUUCCACAUAAUCUCUGCACAUUGCAUCAAUGAAAUCAAUGAAGAAGCAAUCAGGGAUCAAUACCACAGGAGGCGGCCUAUAAAACGUAAAACCCACCAACUCUCUCAGCUUAUCUGGUUUCAAUGGCACCAAAAUACUUGCAGCCUCUUCCAAAUCCGAAACUGUAAAAACCCCUUCCCUCAAAUCCUUCUCUUCCAUACAAAUCCCAGAACAACACAACACCACUCUCUCCACAGCUUCCUUGUACUGCGCCGCUAUACAGUACCCAACGAACCCACCGUAACUAAGCCCAACCAAGCUCAGCUUCCGCACCGAGUAGGCCUCCAUGACUCGCAUGACGCACUGCGCUUGGAACGACUCGUUCCGCUCCGGCCGAGUGGUGAACGACUCGCCGAAGAAGACUAAGUCAGGAACGUAGACGUUGAAGCAAGGAGUGAAGUGGCGGAUGACAUCAACCCACUGCCACAAUGCGUUAGCGCCUAAGCCAUGAAUAAGGAGGAGAUUAGGUUUGGUGUCAGCUGGGACGUUGGGGACCCAGCAGUGCAUUACGGUGCCGUCUUUGAUGUCCGUGAUGGUGGAUCGGAGCCCCAGUUUGGUGAAAGUGGAUCUAUGGCACCAGUUCUUAGCCUCUGUGAAGCUAAAACACCUUGACAUUUUUCUAGAAAGAAAUAGACCAGAACUAAUUUAAAAAAGAAAAAAAAAAGGAAGGAAACAGUUGGACAGGAACGUGUUAAUGAACUAAUUGGCUAUUAGAUACGUGUUUUUAAUGAUCAAUUAGUGGAGCAUUGAUGUGAUGGGUUUGGUAUAAAAAUAGGAUAAGAACACAAAUUUUCAGAUUUUUUUAGAUUUUGGACUUGAAAAAGAAAAGUGAAAAGAGUAGCAGAGAUGGGGAAGAAAGGAAAGAGAACUGAAACAGGAGGCAAGUGCAAUGCAGUGCAGGCCAUGAGGCCAUUGGGGGCAAAUGGCCCUCACAACUCUUUGUUCCAUCCCAUCCCAUUCCUGAAACCAAAACAAGCAAAAAAAGAGAAGAAUUUGUGAUGAUAAAUUGUAGCUGGUAUACAGUCUAAUCACCAUUCAAUUCACGUGUCUAGAUUAAUAAUAUGGUUAGUGAAUGAAUCAAAUGAAAUAUGGGAACUGUCUCAAACAUAAUAUGGGAACACUGUCUUCCUUACAGCUGCAGCCUGCAACUGGCUUGAGUAUUAAAUAGCACAUGUAAUUGCAGAAAAUUGCUUUCCUAAAAAGGAAAAGUGGGUUUGAUUAAAAAAAAAAAGUGGGUUAAUUAAUCAUAAAUGGAGGAUAAAUAUGGGGCACAAAAUGAAAAUGAACAGUUUUUGGUAAAGCUAAAAGCCGAAGGGGCAAUAACCAGCAAAGAAGAUGAAUGAUGUUG
RNAcentral lists this unclassified non-coding RNA (4461 nucleotides) under Hevea brasiliensis (rubber tree). Lineage: Eukaryota; Viridiplantae; Streptophyta; Magnoliopsida; Malpighiales; Euphorbiaceae. The record is from RNAcentral.